RNAcentral lists this ribosomal RNA (292 nucleotides) under uncultured bacterium. RNAcentral describes it as "partial 16S ribosomal RNA". It matches the Rfam family "Bacterial small subunit ribosomal RNA", at positions 505 to 796 of the family's 1533-position model. The record is from RNAcentral.
GUGCCAGCAGCCGCGGUAAUACGUAGGGGGCAAGCGUUGUCCGGAUUUAUUGGGCGUAAAGCGCGUGUAGGCGGCCAGAUAGGUCCGCUGUGAAAGCUCGAGGCUUAACCUCGAGAAGUCGGCGGAAACCAUCUGGCUAGAGUCCGGAAGAGGAGAGUGGAAUUCCCGGUGUAGCGGUGAAAUGCGCAGAUAUCGGGAAGAACACCCGUGGCGAAGGCGGCUCUCUGGGACGGUACUGACGCUGAGACGCGAAAGCGUGGGGAGCAAACAGGAUUAGAAACCCGUGUAGUCC